This 1371-nucleotide long non-coding RNA is filed under the name Pan troglodytes (chimpanzee). Its description in RNAcentral is "long non-coding RNA NONPTRT011679". Lineage: Eukaryota; Metazoa; Chordata; Mammalia; Primates; Hominidae. The record is from RNAcentral.
GCCUAUCUCAAAAACUUUAGAAUUUAUAAUUUUAGAAAUAUGAAAGAGAAUUUGCAAUGUGAUCUCAGUGGCUGGCUCACUUCUCCUUGUAAAGAUUUUUAUCUGAUUAAAAAACAAACAACCUACUUUUUCAAGGCAUAUCAGUGCCAUGAAAUCAUGCUCCACCUUUGCCCGCUUUCAUCAUAUCACCAGGAGCUGCAGUCUGAUAUAAGAGAGGCCAUGACAGAGAGUUAAUUUCUGCCAAUGCCCUUCUCGCUUUCACCGCAAGAUAUGGUUAUUUAAUUUUCUUCUGGGCAUUUACAUAGAGCUUUGAUGGUGCUUCUUACCAUAUCACUGGGUCUGCAUGACUGCUUUAUGGUGAAUCUGAAACCAUUGGGAAAAUGGUCCAGAGUCCCUGAACUUUGCUGGAUCCUAAAAUUAUAGUUUGGAAGCUGUGAGAAUGUUGGUGAAUAAAAAGAAGCAUGUGUCUUUUCCAUGAAUUAAUUUUGGGUGAGAUUGCAGGAUAAAAUGAUGCUUGCUCAGGAAGUGCCAAUGCCCAUCUACCCACCCUGACCUCGGGGAGCAGCACUCAGCCUGACAUGCCAAGAACAGAGCUUUGUCCCCAUGUCUCAGGUGACUGAAAUUCUGCCUUCUGCCCAGAGCCCCUGCUUGGGCUUCAACCAGCAAAGCAAAGGCCUAGGAAACAUUUGCUACCAUCAGCUCUGGUGGUUGCACCUAAGAUGGAAUUUCAUAUAGCCUCUUGUUUAUUUAUUUAUUUUAUUUAACAAGGCGACCAGUUAGGGGACCCAGGUUAAGCCCUUCAACAGAACUAUCCUGAAGAGCAAAAGUAGCAAAUGACAGGCUAUGACUAGGGAUUGAAUUUGGGGAAGGCUGGAUUUGUGAAAUGAGAGCCAAAAAAUUUUCACCUUCUAGCCCACAGGUUAAGUUACUGAAAAUCAAUCAUCACCAUUUCUACCCACUUGUGUGUUUCUCCUACUCUGGAGAGUAAUCUAACUCAUCAUUUGCAAUCAGGGCCUCUGAGUUCUGUUUGUGUUUGCUUUUGCUCUUCGCUUUGCUACUUGUCCGGCCGUUUGCCUUCGCAUCUGACAUCUGUUGGUAAUAGAAGCCUUUGUCUUCAGUGGGCCCGCCCCAGUCCUCCUGGCUCUCGCCCUCUGUGGCGUAGGAGAAACCCUCCUCCACUGAGAAGGGGUCAUCCACAUCGUAGCGUUGGUACGUGCUUUGGUGCAGGGCCUCUUCUCGAGCGCUGAUUUCCAGGGUGCUGUUCCAGAUGCCAUAUCCAAAAUAAAUGAGCAGACCUGUGGGGCGAGGGGAAAGGUACAGAUAAGUGAACUGAGGCCCAAAGAAGUUAAGUAAAUUUCCCAAAGUCACAAG